This 919-nucleotide ribosomal RNA is filed under the name Japewia subaurifera. RNAcentral describes it as "eukaryotic LSU rRNA". It matches the Rfam family "Eukaryotic large subunit ribosomal RNA", at positions 183 to 1005 of the family's 3401-position model. Lineage: Eukaryota; Fungi; Ascomycota; Lecanoromycetes; Lecanorales; Ramalinaceae. The record is from RNAcentral.
AAGUCCUUUGGAACAGGGUGUCAUAGAGGGUGAGAAUCCCGUAUGUGACCGGCGACCAACCCCACGUAUUACUCCUUCGACGAGUCGAGUUGUUUGGGAAUGCAGCUCAAAAUGGGUGGUAAAUUUCAUCUAAAGCUAAAUACCGGCCAGAGACCGAUAGCGCACAAGUAGAGUGAUCGAAAGAUGAAAAGCACUUUGGAAAGAGAGUCAAAAAGUACGUGAAAUUGUUGAAAGGGAAGCGCUUGCAACCAGACCUGCCCGCCGGCGAUCAACCUCUGUUCUCAGGGGUGCACUCGUCGGUGAUCAGGCCAGCAUCGGUUCGGGCGGCCGGAUAAAGGCAUCGGGAAUGUAGCUCCUCUCGGGGAGUCUUAUAGCCCUUUGUGCAAUGCGGCCAGCCCGGACCGAGGACCGCGCUUCGGCUAGGAUGCUGGCGUAAUGGUUGUAAGCGACCCGUCUUGAAACACGGACCAAGGAGUCUAACAUCUAUGCGAGUGUUUGGGUGUCAAACCCAUACGCGUAAUGAAAGUGAACGGAGGUGAGAACCCUUAAGGGCGCAUCAUCGACCGAUCCAGAUGUCUUCGGAUGGAUUUGAGUAUGAGCAUAGCUGUUGGGACCCGAAAGAUGGUGAACUAUGCCUGAAUAGGGUGAAGCCAGAGGAAACUCUGGUGGAGGCUCGCAGCGGUUCUGACGUGCAAAUCGAUCGUCAAAUUUGGGUAUAGGGGCGAAAGACUAAUCGAACCAUCUGAACUUCCAUCUACUGGAUGGUUCAAUCGGGCCCCAUUCCGGGGCUCGAGCAGUCCCUUUUCGAGGGGCCACAUUGCCAGUCUUCGGGUAUGCCUCCGGGCUACCUGCAGCGGGCCUCCACGGGUUCUCGUUCACAGACUAAACGGCAAUGGCUGCGUUCCGUCGCAGUUGUGAG